Galeopterus variegatus (Sunda flying lemur) is the source of this 75-nucleotide non-coding RNA. Lineage: Eukaryota; Metazoa; Chordata; Mammalia; Dermoptera; Cynocephalidae. The record is from the annotation of a RefSeq genome assembly.
GGCCAGUUAGCUCAGUUGGUUAGAGUGUGGUGCUGAUAACACCAAGGUCAAGGGUUCGGAUCCCUAUACCAGCCA